RNAcentral lists this long non-coding RNA (255 nucleotides) under Elaeis guineensis (African oil palm). RNAcentral describes it as "long non-coding RNA (EGUI_LNC039845)". Lineage: Eukaryota; Viridiplantae; Streptophyta; Magnoliopsida; Arecales; Arecaceae. The record is from RNAcentral.
UGUGGGAUCUUCGAUUUUGGCCUGAAGGCUUCGUCUGGUGGCAGGCUUAGCACCUUUUUUCUGUAAGAUUUUUCUCUUCUUCUUUGAUGGGCUCGAGCACUUUUUAGCAUCCAACUCUGUGAUCGUGGUGAUCAAAUUAUAAGACCAAUAGAGCUAGAAGAUUUAAGACCAAAAUAACUGACUCAUGUACCUUAAGGAGCGACUUGGCUGAUACCGGCAUUAAACAGCGCUUGAGCCAACAGCAACUCUUUUAAC